Long non-coding RNA from Zingiber officinale, 244 nucleotides. RefSeq lists it as uncharacterized. The transcript is spliced from 3 exons. NCBI's taxonomy places the organism in Eukaryota, Viridiplantae, Streptophyta, Magnoliopsida, Zingiberales, Zingiberaceae. The record is from RefSeq and is a predicted model, not a curated record.
GCAAAUUUUGGUUUACAUGGGUUACUUGUACAAGUACUUGAAGGAAACAAACAGGGCUGAGUAUGUGUCGUUUGUGGAUCCCAACAAAAUACCAGCCGCUCAAGAUGGCAGUACCUCUUCACAACACAUUGCUAAUCAGUUGAAAGCAUCAAACGGAGACAGCAUAUGCCUUAUCCCAUACAACACUGGUGGAGUGAGGACGUACCUUUGUAUGAGGGGUAAUCCAAAACGACCAACUUUCAAA